GGAUGCGAGGGCAGUCUGGUUGUGACAUCGGUCACCCCGCUGAUCACCUGGGUUGAAUCAGCAGACCUGGCUGGCUGGGCGGGUGUCCCCUUCCUUCCUUCCUGCUUCAUGUGUGUCCCUCCCCAAAUUGCCCCCUCUGUUGAAGAAGACAGCCGUCCCCAGACGAGGAGGACCAGCCUUUGGUCAAGAAUAUGCUAGUAGCUGUGUCUCCUGCUAGAACCUCCAAACAAGCUCGCAGAACGUCAGGGUGCAACCUCAGGGUGUUUUGCCUUUUUUUUUUAAUAAGCCAGUUUUAUUUGUUUAUUUUG
RNAcentral lists this small nuclear RNA (308 nucleotides) under Capra hircus (goat). RNAcentral describes it as "7SK RNA (ENSCHIG00000004986.1)". It matches the Rfam family "7SK RNA". Rfam says of the family: 7SK was discovered as an abundant small nuclear RNA in the mid-70s but a possible function has only recently been suggested. Two independent studies have found that 7SK RNA binds the CDK9/cyclin T complex (known as elongation factor P-TEFb). The record is from RNAcentral. Lineage: Eukaryota; Metazoa; Chordata; Mammalia; Artiodactyla; Bovidae.